CCGCGCGCAGUGCAGAAAACCGCGCCCUGCGCGCGGUGAUUCGCUCUCGCGCGGAGCUGGCAGAAAAAAAAAAAAAAAUUUCCCGCCGACGUCCUCGGGCCCGUGCGUGAAUCACCGCGCGCGCGGUGCGCGGCUUUCUGCACCGCACGCGGUGCACAAAGAAUUGCUCUUCUUAAUUUCUUUCUAAGCUCGAACAAUAAAGUCCCGGAAAUUCUUACAUACGCAUCAGCCCCAACCGCAGGAGAACCAAUGCAUAUGCCAUGUCCAGGAGCAAGGUCUAAGCGAUACUUAAGCAGCAAAAUCCUAAUCUAUCAUUGCUUGUCUGGGACACUCAGAGGUCGUCAAGUUUCACUACUGUAAUUGAAUGGUAUGAUAUUUUGUAUCUUCUGUCAAGGUUUGAAGAACCAAUCAUGCUGCAGAAAAUUCCAUCCUGUACCGAGACAUACCGAGACUUUGAGCAAGGUGGAGCUCUAUUACUAUAACUAGUAGAAUUUCAGCUUCAUCUGCAACAAGCUCAGUAUAUGGAAGACCCCUGUUAAAAAGUAAGAAUACCUUAACUUUUAGAAAUGAAGCAGUCCUGUGAUCAAUUUAGAGGAGGGAGGACUGGUUCUGGUCUUUUAUCGGAAAGCUACGCAUGGGUUGAUCUUUCAAUUUAUUGAUGCCAGACUAAAUUUUCAACAAAUAAGCAUAGACUAAAUUUAUUGUACUUAUUUGAUAAUUGGUCCUUGCUUUUCUGUAUAUUUUCUACAAAUUUCAAAUCUUACAAUAUUUCUUUGAGUCUAGCCAAGUGAAGCCUAACUUGUUCAAUCUGAUGAUUAUCUAAAAUUAUUUUGCAAGUGGUAAUUCCAGGUUCUGAGUGUCAGCAGAAACCUCCUUCUGUGAAGCUUCUCCUUUGAAAGUGGGUUAAACUGGAUAAGCAGAGAUUUUCAGAUCAUGCACAUGAACGUGAACAUGCAUGUGCAUGCAUACACACAAAGAGAUACACAUGCAAAUGCAUACCCAUGCACAUGCACAUGACUGGAGGCCGGAGAUGUGGUUGGAACCUUUUCAUUAUUGUUUCUACUCUGACAUUUUUUCUCUGUUUUUCUUUAUUUCAUACCUCAUUGAACUGAAUGAUGCUUGCAUGCAAUUUUGUAAGAAUUAAUUUUCAGAGUUUUUAAGUAGAGAAGUACCUUAUGCAUAUUGUAUUGUUAACUAAAUCCAUUAAGUUGUAAAAUGAUGAUUACUUCAAUUUAGAGAAUGCUACGAAGCUUGGGGAUGCAAUUUUUUGUGUGAUUGAAUUGCAUGACUCAAACAAGCUUUUCAAGGGAAAAAGGUUUGAAAUGAAAGACUCUAGCUACAUCCUGCUAAAAUUGAAUGAACCAAAUGGAUUGUAUGAACAACUUGACGUAAAACAAAGUGUCAUUACUCAGUAAUGUUGGUAUUGUUAUUAGUUAUCCUUUUUAUCCCUUUAAAGGAAAACUCUGCUCUGUAAGUGUUAAGCUACUCUGUCUUCUUCAGUGGACAAUGGACAAUUGAAAUCCAGGGAAGUAUAAGAAACUGAUUUCUCUGCGACACAAAUGUUGG
Molecule: non-coding RNA, 1566 nt
Organism: Elaeis guineensis (African oil palm)
Lineage: Eukaryota; Viridiplantae; Streptophyta; Magnoliopsida; Arecales; Arecaceae
Source: RefSeq, a predicted model, not a curated record